CAUGUGUAGAUUUUCCUUUCCUUGUCUUUCACAAGUAUCAUGUUUUUCUUCAAUCCUCUGUGUGUGGGGGGGGGGAUGACAGGAUCUUGCUAUGUUGUCCAGGCUAGAGUGCAGUGGCAUGACCAUGGCUCACUGCAGCCUUAACCUCCUGGGCUCAAAGGAUCCUCCCACCUCAGCCUCCCAAAGUGUUGGGAUUACAGGCAUGAGCCACAAUGCCCAGCCUUAAAUUCUUUUCAACUUUAAAAAAUUUUGGUCAUGUGUGAUGACCCAUGCCUGUAAUCUCAACACUUCAAGAGGUUGAGGCAGGAGGUUCGUUUGAACCCAGGAGUUGGGGACAAGCCUGGGUACACCAGGAGACCCCAUCUUAAUUUAAAAAAAAAUUACCCAGAGGUGGUGGCAUGGACUACCUGUGGUCCCAGCUACUUGGGACACUCAGGCAGGAGGAUCACCUGAGUCUGGGGGGAUUGAGGCUACAGUGAGCUAUGGCAAUGCCACUGUACUCCUGCCUGGGAAACAGAGUGAGACCCUGUUUCAAAAAAAUUGUUUUUGUCACUUAAAAAUUCUUUUAUUUUUUAAAAAGACAAAUCCUGCCCUCUGUGUACAUCGCUGUGUUUUCAGCAAUGUCUGUUUUCCUCUGUGUUGUUUGCACAUCAUGUUCACUUCUGCAAAUUUUAUUGUUCUUUUCACUUCUGUCUAGGCCCUGCUGUCUCAUGUUUUGUCAACAGGAAGAAAAACACAUCUUCAUGUUUUGUUUUGUUUUUGAGGUGGAGUCUUGCUCAGUCACCCAGGCUGGAGAGCAGUAGCACAAUCUCAGCUUACUGCAACCUUUGCCCCCCAAGUUCAAGUGAUUCUCCUGCCUCAGCCUCCCGAGUAGCUGGGUCUACAGGAACAAAAUUUCAGUCUAGACUGAAAUUCAUAGCUGGACACAUUCCUCACUUCAAAUGAGAACUCCUGUUUACCUGGCAGUGAAUGUAAGUUUUGAUUACAAGAAUCUGCCUCAUGGGAUUGGGUAGGAAUAGGCAGACUCUGCAGGUAACUUCUCUUCUUAGAAUGGUUUCCUGACCCUCCAGGGUAUUGUCCUUUUCUGCUGACCUUAGCUCACCCUGGAACAGUGGUAUGUUGGUAAAUGUUUGAUAACUAGCUGCUCUGGGUGUAGUCGGGGAAGUUCUGAUUUGCAGCAUUUCCUGAUUUCCAUGCAAUAUAAGAUCUCCCAUCCUAGCCAAUUUCAAGCUAGCAACAUAACAUCACUGAAUGGGGAGCUGAGAUGUGCAAACUAGAUUCCCAAGACUGAAUUCAUUUAGCACACCACUGUUCUGGGUCUGCUGUACUGUGUCAGAAAACUAUACCCACUACUCUCGUGUAAGCCCAAACAAUGGAGCCAGCUGCUCCAAAAGCAACUCCUGGAAUUCAUGGGGACUUAAGGAAGUUUGCCCUGCUAGAUUUUUCUAUCAAUCAAUAACCAUGUUUUUAUUUUUUUCAAAAAUUCCUUUCUAUGUUGUUUGCUGUAAGUACCUUUUCUGGUUUUCCUGUGCUGCUUUGAAUUAAUUUUUCUAUUUCUUUGAUUUCAGUGGAAUUUGGAGAAGGAAUAGCAAAGUGGAAGUCCUUCUCCUAUUUCAUGCCUUAACUUGUUUUUAUUGGAAGUUACUUCCUUUUUCGUCUCAGAGGCUGAUUCUCCUCCCAUAACCAGUGAUUUUCCUAUAAGCUCAUUAUCCUGGAUGAUGGUUUGACUAACCAAGGCUACUGGCUGCUGAGGGGUUUCUGAGGAAACUUGGGUAGCCUGAUAGAGGCCAUCUGCCUCUCCACGUGGGUUCUAGUUGUGGAGUACACUGCUAUGUUCAUGGAGGCCAUGCACAUUGGCCAGAGAAGAGCAGCCCCAUUGCAAAAGGAUCUAAAUGAGUAUUUUCCAUGCUCACGGGUCAAAUGAGAGGACGUCCCACAUUUAUUCAGAAGGUAGUUGAAAGUGGUCAGCCCCAGAUCUCCUCCAUAUGACUCUUUGGUUGAUGCUACUUGUACCUCAAUACUUGGAAGGCCCAUUCUGGCCAGGAACAACUUUCACUUUACUCUGAAAACAUGGGCAGGUGGGCACAGAAUAGAGCGACUCUAUCCCUGGGACAGAAACUCCUUCAGGCUUUGUGGCAGACACUGUUAUAUGAGUCUUUAGGUGAGUUAACUCAUUUACUCUUUGGAACAAUCCUCUGAAGUAGGUUUUGUUAUUAUCCUCAGUUUACAGACACAGAAACUGAGACACAGAAAGACCAUUCACAGUAAGUGGUUGAGGCAGGACUGAAACUCAAGAAGCCUUGUGACGGUUGUGAUGAGUUAGUAGUGAUGGUGGCUACGAGGUAGGUGUGUGAAUAGAUGUGUAGUGGCUUCUCCUCCAAUGGAAAACUCCCAAAGCAUUAUGAAACAGCCUGGUAGCUGCAGUUGCCCAGGUGUGCAGGAGCAUCGGUGAGCUCAGCAGACUCUGUUCCAAGUCACAUUAAAGAGGCUGAUUUAUCGCAAACCUAUCUCCUAGAGACAGAAUAUAGUUUCCAAAAAUGGACAAAACAUGACCUCCCAACCCACAUGCUGUUCUUACGAUGUAACUUUGAUAUUAUAUUC
Callithrix jacchus (white-tufted-ear marmoset) is the source of this 2601-nucleotide long non-coding RNA. The record is from Ensembl. NCBI's taxonomy places the organism in Eukaryota, Metazoa, Chordata, Mammalia, Primates, Cebidae.